This 3299-nucleotide ribosomal RNA is filed under the name Kokia drynarioides. RNAcentral's name for it is "eukaryotic LSU rRNA". The stretch from base 394 to 3299 matches the Rfam family "Eukaryotic large subunit ribosomal RNA". Lineage: Eukaryota; Viridiplantae; Streptophyta; Magnoliopsida; Malvales; Malvaceae. The record is from RNAcentral.
ACGACUCUCGACAACGGAUAUCUCGACUCUCGUAUCGAUGAAGAACAUAGCAAAAUACGAUACUUGGUGUGAAUUACAGAAUCCCGUGAACCAUCGAGUCUUUGAACGCAAGUUACGCCCCAAGCCAUUAGGUUGAGGGCACGUCUGCCUAGGUGUCACACAUCGUCGCCCCUAUCCAACCUUUAGCUCUCAGGCCAUGAUUUAAUUUGUGGUCGAAAAUUGGCCUUCGUGCGCUCAUAGCUAGCGAUUGACCUAAAUUUGAGUCCUUGACGACAUCAUCGUCGUGACGAUCGGUGGUAAUGCUCUAUUAGUACAGCCUCGUUCAAAGUUGUGCACGAUGGUCGAUCGAGGCCCUCGAACCCUUUCGGUAUCGCAAUGACGGUGCUCGCAUCACGACCUCAGGUCAGGCGGGAUUACCCACUGAGUUUAAGCAUAUCAAUAAGCGGAGGAAAAGAACUUAUCAAGAUUCCCUUAGUAAUGGCGAGCGAAUCGGGAAAAGCCCAGCUUGAGAAUCGGGUGCCAUCGGCAUCCGAAUUAUAGUUUGAAGAAGCGCCCUCAACGACAGACCGGGCCCAAGUCCCUUAGAAAUGGGCACCGAAGAGGGUGAGAGCCCUUUCGUGCUCGUACCCUAUCGCACCACGAGGCGCUUUCUACGAGUCGGAUUGUUUGGGAACGCAGUCCUAAUCGGGCGAUAAAUUUCGUCCAAGGCUAAAUACGAGCGAGAGACCAAUAGCGAACAAGUACCGUAAGGGAAAGAUGAAAAGGACUUUGAAAAGAGAGUCAAAGAGUGCUUGAAAUUGUCAGGAGGGAAGCGGAUUGGGGCUGGCAAUGUGCCCUGGUCUGAUAUGGAACUGUGAGAGCCAAUCCGCCGAACNNNNNNNNNNGCCCUGGUCUGAUAUGGAACUGUGAGAGCCAAUCCGCCGAACGGCUCAAGGCGUGGACCAAUGCAGGUCGUGACGGCGACCCAAGUGCGGGCUUUUGAUAUGCUCGUAGAGAUGUCGUCGCCUGUAUCAUGAGAUCCAGCAUGCAUCAUCUAGAGUGCUUAUGCACCUACGUGCUUCGGGCGUCGUCCUGUGAGCUCCCCAUUCGGCCCAUCUUGAAACACGGACCAAGGAUUCUGACAUGUAUACGAGUCAACGGGCUAGAAAACCCGUAAGGCGUAAGGAAGCUGAUUGGCGGGAUCCCUCGCGGGUGAACCGUCGAUCGACCUUGAUCUUCUGAGAAGAGUUCGAGUGAGAGCAUGCCUGUCAGGACCCGAAAGAUGGUGAACUAUGCCUAAGCGGGGCGAAGCCAAAGGAAACUCUAGUGGAGGCCCGCAGCAAAACUGACGUGCAAAUCAUUCGUCUGACUUAGGUAUAAGGGCAAAAGAGAACUGUCUAGUAGCUGGCUCCCUCCGAAGUUUCCCUCAGGAUAGCUGGAGCCCUUAACGAGUUCUAUCGGGUAAAGCUAAUGAUUAAAGGCAUCGGGGGCGCAACGCCCUCAACCUAUUCUCAAACCUUAAAUAAGUAAGAUGACGCGACUGCUUCGUUGAGCCGAACCACGAGAGCUCUAAGUUGGCCAUUUUUGGUAAGCAGAACUGACGAUGCGGGAUGAACCGGAAGCCGGGUUACGGUGCCCAACUGUGAGCUAACCUAGAACCCACAAAGGGUGUUGGUCGAUUAAGGUAGGAAGAUGGUGGUCAUGGAAGUCGAAAUCCGCUAAGGAGUGUGUAACAACUCACCUGCUGAAUCAACUACCCUUGAAAAUGGAUGGCACUUAAGCGUGCGACCUAUACCCGACCGUCGGGGCAAGGGCCAGGCCUCGAUGAGUAGGAUGGCAUGACAGUUGCCAUAAAACCCGAGGCACGAGCCCGAGCAGAGCGAUCGUCGUUGCAGAUCUUGAUGGUUGUAGCAAAUAUUCAAAUGAGAACUUUAAAGGUCGAAGAGGGGAAAGGUUCCAUGUGAACGACACUUGCACAUGGGUUAGUCGAUCCUAAAAGACGGGAGAAGCUCGUCCGAUAGCGCAUUCACCGCGAUCUUCAAAAGGGAAUCGAGUUAAAAUUAUUGAACAGGGACGCGAUGGCUGACGGUAACGUUAGGGAGUUUGAAGACGUCGAUAAGAGCCUCGAGAAGAGUUAUCUUUCUAUUUAACGGCCUGCCCACCCUGGAAACGGCUAAGCUGGAGGUUCGGUCUAGAGACCGAAAGAUCACCUCACGUCACGUGAUGUCCAGUGAGCCCCGAUGACCCUUAAAAAUUCUGAACACCGAGUGCCGUCUACGCCCGGUCGUACUCAUAAUCGCAUCAGGUCUCCAAGGUGAACAGCCUCUGGUAAAUGGAAUAAUGUAGGCAAGGGAAGUCGAUAAAAUGAAUCCGUAACCUCGGGAAAAGAUUGGCUCUGAGGGUUGGGCACGGGGGUCUCAGAGCUGCACCCGCAUGCCGGUCGGGGGACGGACUGGGAACGGCUCCCUCGGGGGCCUUCCCCUGACGAACAGUCAACUCAGAACUGGUACGGACAAGGGGAAUCCGAUUAUUUAAUUAAAACAAAGCAUUACGAUGGUCCCUGCGGAUGCUCACGCAAUGUGAUUUCUGCCAGUGCUCUGAAUAUCAAAGUGAAGAAAUUCAACCAAGCGCGGGUAAAUGACGGGAGUAACUAUGACUCUCUUAAGGUAGCCAAAUGCCUCGUCAUCUAAUUAGUGGGAGCUCUCAGGCGAAAUUGAAAUACCACUACUUUUAACAUUAUUUUACUUAUUUCGUGCAUCGGAGGCGAGGCACAGCCCCUCUUUUUGGACCCAAGGCCGGCUUUGGUCGAUCGAUCCAGGCAGAAGACAUUGUCAGGUAGGGAGUUUCGCUGGGGCGGCACAUCUAUUAAAAGAUAACGCAGGUGUCCUUAGAUGAGCUCAACGAGAACAAAAAUUUCGUGUAGAAUAAAAGGGUAAAAGUUCAUUUUAUUCUGAUUUCCAGUACGAAUACGAACAGUGAAAGCGUAGCCUAUCGAUGCUUUAGACCUUCAAAAUUUGAAGCUAGAGGUGUCAGAAAAGUUACCACAGGGAUAACUGGCUUGUGGCAGCCAAGCGUUCAUAGCGACAUUACUUUUUGAUCCUUCGAUGUCGGCUCUUCCUAUCAUUGUGAAGUAGAAUUCACCAAGUGUUGGCUUGUUCACCCACAAAUAGGGAACGCGAGCUGGGUUUAGACCAUUGUGAGACAGGUUAGUUUUACCCUACUGAUGGCCACAUCGCAAUAGUAAUUCAACCUAGUAUGAGAGGAACCGUUGAUUCACACAAUUGGUCAUCGCGCUCGAUUGAAAAUCUAGUGGCACGAAG